RNAcentral lists this ribosomal RNA (1372 nucleotides) under uncultured bacterium. RNAcentral describes it as "bacterial SSU rRNA". It matches the Rfam family "Bacterial small subunit ribosomal RNA", at positions 28 to 1381 of the family's 1533-position model. The record is from RNAcentral.
GAUGAACGCUGGCGGCGUGCCUAAUACAUGCAAGUCGAGCGAACGGACGAGAAGCUUGCUUCUCUGAUGUUAGCGGCGGACGGGUGAGUAACACGUGGAUAACCUACCUAUAAGACUGGGAUAACUUCGGGAAACCGGAGCUAAUACCGGAUGAUAUUUUGAACCGCAUGGUUCAAAAGUGAAAGACGGUCUUGCUGUCACCUAUAGAUGGAUCCGCGCUGCAUUAGCUAGUUGGUAAGGUAACGGCUUACCAAGGCAACGAUGCAUAGCCGACCUGAGAGGGUGAUCGGCCACACUGGAACUGAGACACGGUCCAGACUCCUACGGGAGGCAGCAGUAGGGAAUCUUCCGCAAUGGGCGAAAGCCUGACGGAGCAACGCCGCGUGAGUGAUGAAGGUCUUCGGAUCGUAAAACUCUGUUAUUAGGGAAGAACAUAUGUGUAAGUAACUGUGCACAUCUUGACGGUACCUAAUCAGAAAGCCACGGCUAACUACGUGCCAGCAGCCGCGGUAAUACGUAGGUGGCAAGCGUUAUCCGGAAUUAUUGGGCGUAAAGCGCGCGUAGGCGGUUUUUUAAGUCUGAUGUGAAAGCCCACGGCUCAACCGUGGAGGGUCAUUGGAAACUGGAAAACUUGAGUGCAGAAGAGGAAAGUGGAAUUCCAUGUGUAGCGGUGAAAUGCGCAGAGAUAUGGAGGAACACCAGUGGCGAAGGCGACUUUCUGGUCUGUAACUGACGCUGAUGUGCGAAGGCGUGGGGAUCAAACAGGAUUAGAUACCCUGGUAGUCCACGCCGUAAACGAUGAGUGCUAAGUGUUAGGGGGUUUCCGCCCCUUAGUGCUGCAGCUAACGCAUUAAGCACUCCGCCUGGGGAGUACGACCGCAAGGUUGAAACUCAAAGGAAUUGACGGGGACCCGCACAAGCGGUGGAGCAUGUGGUUUAAUUCGAAGCAACGCGAAGAACCUUACCAAAUCUUGACAUCCUUUGACAACUCUAGAGAUAGAGCCUUCCCCUUCGGGGGACAAAGUGACAGGUGGUGCAUGGUUGUCGUCAGCUCGUGCCGUGAGAUGUUGGGUUAAGUCCCGCAACGAGCGCAACCCUUAAGCUUAGUUGCCAUCAUUAAGUUGGGCACUCUAAGUUGACUGCCGGUGACAAACCGGAGGAAGGUGGGGAUGACGUCAAAUCAUCAUGCCCCUUAUGAUUUGGGCUACACACGUGCUACAAUGGACAAUACAAAGGGCAGCGAAACCGCGAGGUCAAGCAAAUCCCAUAAAGUUGUUCUCAGUUCGGAUUGUAGUCUGCAACUCGACUACAUGAAGCUGGAAUCGCUAGUAAUCGUAGAUCAGCAUGCUACGGUGAAUACGUUCCCGGGUCU